This 281-nucleotide ribosomal RNA is filed under the name unidentified marine bacterioplankton. RNAcentral's name for it is "partial 16S ribosomal RNA". It matches the Rfam family "Bacterial small subunit ribosomal RNA", at positions 58 to 339 of the family's 1533-position model. The record is from RNAcentral. RNAcentral also lists the same sequence under 1 other name.
CAAGUCGAACGAUGAAGUGGAGCUUGCUCCACGGAUUAGUGGCGAACGGGUGAGUAACACGUGAAUAACCUGCCCUCAAUUUCGGAAUAACCCAGGGAAACCUGGGCUAAUACCGGAUACGUAAACCUGUGGCAUCACAUGGUUUUGGAAAGUUUUUCGAUUGAGGAUGGAUUCGCGGCCUAUCAGCUUGUUGGUGAGGUAAUGGCUCACCAAGGCGACGACGGGUAGCCGGCCUGAGAGGGCGACCGGCCACACUGGGACUGAGACACGGCCCAGACUCC